Molecule: long non-coding RNA, 866 nt
Filed under: Nicotiana tabacum (common tobacco)
Lineage: Eukaryota; Viridiplantae; Streptophyta; Magnoliopsida; Solanales; Solanaceae
Description: long non-coding RNA (NTAB_LNC019210)
Source: RNAcentral
UUUCCUCUCAAACUUCUCCCAUCCAUCUAGCCAAGCAUAACAACAAUUUAGUCAUCCUCAAGAUGGAGAACACCAUGGUAGCUUCGGAAUCGUGAAUUCUUCGGUGUUUCACUUUUCAUAGCAAGACUCUGCCUUGAAGUAAUUUCGAAUUUUGAGUAAUUCUGGUCACAUAAGGUAUGAUUUAACUUCUCUUUGAUCUUUAUAAACUUCUACCAUAAGAAUUCUUAAGAAAUAGUUGAAACCUCUAUAGAAAUAUUGUUGAUUUUUUUUAAGAAACCUCUCUUAAUAUGGCUUGAUUGUUGGGGCUGUUCUAUAUGGUUUUAUUGUGUUGUUUUGAUAUGUGAAGACAUGGAUGGAAUUAUGUUGAUGAGGAUAUGUAGUAAAGUAAAAUUUGGUGGUGUGUUGGGGGAAAAUUAAUCUACAAAAGAGUCUACAUAUUCAUGGUCACAAGUUGUUCGCGUAAAUGUCUAAAUGAAGAAUUAUUUAAGCUAUGAGCUUGAAUUUGAUUUUGAAUGGUUUGUAUUAUGUAGGAAAUCAUUCCUAAGGCUUUUGAGGUCUUGGAAACAGUAUAUAACUCCAUCGACAAGGUAUGUAGGGCUUUCGCUAUACUUUUCGGCAUGACUAGAAUUCGAAUAAACGUUUAUCGAAUUGUCUCGUCGGAUUCGAGUUAUUUCACCUUCAGCUUAUAAAGAUGCUUAGACCUGAUCUUUUCUCAUAGAUUGCUUACUCUAGAGGUUAUCUAUGAAUUCUCGGAUUUCCUUGUUCCUUGCUUAAAAAGAACUAGAGCCUUUUUACUCGUUCUCAUUUCGACAUUCAUAUAAAUCAUGAAUAAGGAACACUUACUUCAAAGGUAUUCAUAAUACAUA